Long non-coding RNA from Entelurus aequoreus (snake pipefish), 219 nucleotides. RefSeq lists it as uncharacterized. The transcript is spliced from 3 exons. The record is from RefSeq and is a predicted model, not a curated record. NCBI's taxonomy places the organism in Eukaryota, Metazoa, Chordata, Actinopteri, Syngnathiformes, Syngnathidae.
GCACCGACUCAAGCACUUGGCCGGGAAACAAACAGUCAAGCACUGAGAGCGGACUCAGCUGGAAGUGCCUCUGGACUCGCUAUGGAAGCGCUGCAAACUACAACAAAGAUGACGGGGACAAGACGCAGUCGAAGUGGAGGCACAUAAAUAGGACCGCCCACAAAACGGCGCAUCCUGAAGAGACGGUCAUAAAGCGGCUUGAAGAUGCGUGAUCCACCU